This 5015-nucleotide long non-coding RNA is filed under the name Populus trichocarpa (black cottonwood). Its description in RNAcentral is "long non-coding RNA (PTRI_LNC004076)". Lineage: Eukaryota; Viridiplantae; Streptophyta; Magnoliopsida; Malpighiales; Salicaceae. The record is from RNAcentral.
AAGCUUUUGGAAGAGAACUGCUUAAUUAUAUUAUUAAUAGACGACAUUUAUAUAGAUACAAACCUAACAGAGUUCUCUACGUUGCAGGAAGACUAAUCCUUUAGAAAUACAAGUUGUUGCAGUAAUGGAGUCCUAAUGAAUAACAAACUGUAAGAGCAGUAAUGAAGUCCUAAUGAAUAACAAACUGUAAGAGCUAUACAUUGAUUUAUCAUGCCCCCUCAAGAUGGACCACGAUCGGAGAGGCCAAUCUUGUCACGAAACAAAUGAAAUGUAGACGUAGACAGGGGUUUGGUCAGAAGGUCCGCAAGUUGAUCAGCAGAUGAAACGUGAGUUACACGUAACUGACCAGAUUGAACUUGAUCGCGAAUGAAAUGGUAGUCGACUGCAACAUGUUUCAUGCGAGAAUGAAAAAUAGGAUUGGAACUUAAUUGAGUUGCUCCUAUGUUAUCACAGUAUAUCACAGGUGAGGAAGACAGAGCAACACCAAGUUCAUGAAGUAGAGAUUGUACCCAACAGAGUUCAGCAGCAGUGGCAGCAACGGAGCGAUACUCAGCCUCUGUUGAAGACCUGGCAAUGGUCUUUUGUUUCUUUGAACUCCAAGAAAUUAAAUUACUUCCAAGAUAAACUAGAUAAGCACUAGUGGAUGAAUAAUCAUCUUUAUUGCCAGCCCAAUCGGCAUCUGAAAAGGCAUGAAGUUGAUCAGCGAAGUCAUGAAGAUUGGAGGGCGAGUCACGGUGCAGAAGAAGGCCUUUGUUUAGUGUACCAACAAGGUAUCGCAGAAUUCGUUUAACAAGUAUCCAGUGAUCAUCGGUUGGGCUGUGCAUGAAUUGAGACAGUUUGUUCACAGCAAAGGACACAUCUGGUCUUGUAAGUGAAAGAUACUGAAGGCUCCCUACCACUUCACGAUAAAUUGUGGGAUUCUGUAGCGGUGAACCAGACAACAAUGAAAUAGCAGAGGCAGAGCUUGGAAUCGGAGUGAGCACUGGUUUUGCGUCCAACAUGUUGAGACGAGUUAGCAGGUCAGUAAUGUACUUGCGUUGAGAGAGUAGAAUACCAUGUUUGUGAGGAAGAACUUCAACACCCAAGAAGUAGGACAAAUUGCCAAGAUCUUUAAGAGAAAAACGUUUGGCAAGACUGGAAACAAAAACUGAUAGAAUGUUGUCACUGCUGCCUGUGACAAUAAUGUCAUCCACGUAAACCAGCAAAAACAGAACAUGUUGAGCACUGUGAAAUGUGAACAGAGAAGGAUCAGAGUAGGAAUUGCAGAAACCAGAAGCCAACAGAAAUGUGCGCAAUUCAUGAUACCAAGCCCGGGGCGCCUGUUUGAGUCCAUAAAUGGCCUUGUGAAGUUUGCAGACAAAUGACGGUUUGUCACGAUCAACAAAUCCAGGAGGUUGCACCAUGUAAACGGUUUCAGAGAGAUGACCUUGAAGGAAAGCAUUGUUGAUAUCCAGCUGUUUAAGUGACCAUCCGCGACUGACAGCAAGACUGAGUACCAAGCGGACAGUGGUUGGCUUCACAACGGGGCUGAAAGUCUCAUGAUAGUCUACACCGGGACGCUGGUGGAACCCUUUUGCAACAAGUCGUGCUUUAAAUCUGUUUAUGGAUCCAUCAGAAAGUCUUUUAAUGCGGUAAACCCACCUGCAACCAACAACGUUAGUGAUACCAUCAGGAGGAACAAGUUCCCAUGUGCCAUUGCAGACUAAAGCAUCAUAUUCCUCAGACAUGGCAGCUCGCCAGUUUGGAUCUUUAAGUGCCUGAGAGAGGAUGGAAGGUUCUGUUGGAGAGAUGACCGGUUUAGUAGUGUGAAGACUGAGUUUCUGGAUUGGUUUGUGGAUAUUAUUCCGGGACCGAGUGAUCAUGGGGUGUAGGGAAUGUUGUGGUGGUGGUGGAACAGGUAGAGAUGGAUCUUGAAGUGAAGGAUUAUGGUGAGAGGAUGAAGCAGUUACCUGUGAAGUAGAUAUGAUGGAAGGGAUUGCUCCAGCAUGUGUGGAAGGACUUGAUGAAGGGACCAUAGGAGGAGAUGCAUCUGCAUGGCAUUGUGAGGAAGGAGCAGAAGGAGCCAGUUGCUGUGGGGUUUGAGAUGAGACAGAAAUAGGUGAAGGCAUCCAGUCGGAAACGGGGGAAGGAAGAUUUGAAGGUGCAGUAGGAUAAGAUUUAUAAGGAAAAACUGACUCAACAAAUUGUACAUGCCGUGAAAUAUGUAGUUUGUUAUUGGAUUUGUCAAGGCAUAGAUAUGCACUUUGAGAAAGGGAGUAUCCAAGAAAAACACAGGGUUGAGAUUUCGACUCAAGUUUAUGAGAUGCAUAUGGACCUAACCAAGGAUAACAUAAACAACCAAACACUUUAAGUUUAGAAAAAUUGGGACUCUUGUGAAAAAUUGACUCGUAUGGUGAAGACAUGUUUAAUGUGGGAGUAGGCAUCCUGUUAAUUAGGUAAACGGCAGUGGUGAAGGCAUAAGUCCAAAAAGUAGUAGGGAUUGAGGCAUGAGAAAGAAGGGCAAGUCCAGUUUCGACAAUGUGAAGAUGUCGCCGUUCAGAAUAACCAUUAUGUUCAGGUGUAUGUGGUGGGGACGUGAGAUGACUAAUUCCAUGUUCGGAAAGAAAUGGUUUGAGAGCAAUGUAUUCACCACCAUUAUCAGAAUAAAGAGAAAUAAUGGUUUGUUGAAAAUAUUUUUCAACAAUUGCUUUGUAGCGUCGAAACACUAUUUGGACAUCAGAUUUGCGUUUUAAUGGAUAAAACCAAAUGUAUUUUGUAAAAUGAUCAACAAAAAUAACAUAGUAUUUAUAACCAUCGUGUGAAAUAAUAGGAGAAGUCCAAACAUCUGAAAAUACAACUUGAAGAGGACGCGUAGUGUGCAAAGUAGACACAGAAAAUGGUUGUUUAUGACUUUUAUUACUUAAGCAAGCAUCGCAACAAAAAUUCUUUUGAGAAGAAAAAUUUAAAUGAUAGAAGGACAUGAUAUGUUUAAGAAUUGUGGAGGCUGGAUGACCAAGGCGCUGGUGCCAAAUGGACAUUGUUGUUUUGACAGCAGAGAAGGCUAGAAUGGGAGGAGUAGAAGAGGUCGCAACUGGCCAUUCAUAAAUACCAUUCUUAGUGCCGCCCUGCAGAAGAAUGUCCCCCGUUUGUAGGUCCUUCACAUGAAAACAAUGAGGAAAAAGUUCAAUCGACACAUUGUUGGUGAUACAGAAUAAUGCAAUAGAUAUUAAAUUUUUUUGCAUUUUUGGAACACACAAAACAUCUUGUAAGUGGAAAGAAGAGUUAGAUGUGGGAAGGGAUACUGAACCAGUGUGACUUAUGGGAAGGUUGGUACCAUCGCCUAGUAUAACAUCAUCAUGACCAGUAUAUGGUGUAUGGAGGGAAAGAUUAUUGAGGUCGGCAGUAACAUGAUGGGAAGCACCACUAUCCAGUAACCAUGACGCAGCGGUGGAUGGUGAUGAAGAAGAAAAAUUGGCUUGAGGAUUCCAGGAGGAUGGCAUACCAUUGGAGGAGCUGGCAGAGUUAGAACCAUGAACAGGAACUAAUUGAAAAGAAGGACAACGUUUAGCGGUGUGUCCUUGAGUGCCACACAUCUGGCAGUAAUAGGACCAAGACGAGAGGAUUGUGACCGUGUUUGAAGUGAUGCUUCAAACAAGAGAAGUUUCUCAUGGAGUUCAUCAAAGGAGAUAGCAGCUUCGCGAGCUUGGACAGCCCGAACAAGUUCUGUGUAAUCUUCAUCUAAACCAUCAAGGAUCUGUUCAGUAAGAUCAUCAGUAUCCAUAGGAGCACCAAGAACAGUAAGUUCGUCAGAUUUUGCUUUAAUGAAGUGGACAAAAUCUGUGAUACUCAUAGAACCUUUUGUGAGAUUCUUUAACUGGUUUUUCACCUGGCGAAUACGUCCACGUGAUGGUUUAGCAUAUGUUGUGGCAAGAACAUGCCAAGCAUCAUAAGAAGAAGUGGUGCGGGCUACAAAGGAAAUAAGCGAAGGAGAAAGACUGCCAACAAUGGCAUUCAAGAGAAGUUGAUCUUGCCUUACCCAGAGACUAUAGGCAGGAUUAGGGACAGUGAUAUUAUCUGUUACAAGGGUUGGUGAGGGACACGGCUUGGAGCCAUCGAUGUAACCAAGAAGAUCGUAGCCAAUAAAUAGUGUUUCAAAUUGAAUUUUCCAAGAAGCAUAGUUGGAAGAGGUGAGUUUGAGAAGGGCUUGAGCAGCUGUGUUUAUGGUGAUAAGAUGGUUUUCUGUGUUUGAAGGAAUGGAAGUUGACAUGGUGAUGGGAAGAGGGAAGAAACAGAAUUGAAGAGGAAUGGAGAGAAAAAAGAGAAAAAAAAUAAAGGAUCAGAGACGCUCUGAUACCAUGAUAGAGCUGAAGCUUUUGGAAGAGAACUGCUUAAUUAUAUUAUUAAUAGACGACAUUUAUAUAGAUACAAACCUAACAGAGUUCUCUACGUUGCAGGAAGACUAAUCCUUUAGAAAUACAAGUUGUUGCAGUAAUGGAGUCCUAAUGAAUAACAAACUGUAAGAGCAGUAAUGAAGUCCUAAUGAAUAACAAAUUGUAAGAGCUAUACAUUGAUUUAUCAGAUAAAUCUUGAUCCCCGAUGAGAUUAGCCUUGGUAUAAACAUGCAUGAUAUGCACAAUGGGAGUUUCUUUCUUUCCUUUUCCCUUAAGGAUCCUCAAAGUACAUUCUUGUUAUAUAAGAAAGAAAAAGAAGCAAAAAAUGUUUUCGUGCCGGCACAUCGCAUCAAGCAUAAAGGCAGCAGCACAGUUCUGCCGCCUUAUAUUAUUCCCAAAGGGGCCAGCCUUGCCGAUCGAUAUGUUUCUGAAACUACCUAGCAAGGGCACCACUAUCUAUUCAACUUUUCUAUUAAUUGAUGAAAGUGUACGUAUAUAUAUCAUAAACACUUGAUUUCUUCAACACAGCUCUUGAUGGACCUGCCAUGCCAGGCCAUGAGAAACAUGAUUAAAAGAUCGGUAGAAGAAAUGUGCCCAUCACUUGGAAAUUAGAUUGGAAAGUUGAUUUGAUGAAGCAUCAGCAAG